RNAcentral lists this ribosomal RNA (801 nucleotides) under uncultured bacterium. RNAcentral describes it as "bacterial SSU rRNA". It matches the Rfam family "Bacterial small subunit ribosomal RNA", at positions 61 to 835 of the family's 1533-position model. The record is from RNAcentral.
GUCGAGCGAUCAUUAGCGGGUAGCAAUAUCUGCUAGUGGGAGCGGCGCAAGGGUGCGUAACACGUGGGUAAUCUGCCAUGAAGUCCGAGAUAACUUGCUGAAAGGCGAGCUAAUACCGGAUGUGACCACUUGGGGGCCUCCCCGAGGGGUCAAAGUUGGGGACCGAAAGGCCUGACGCUUCAUGAUGAGCCCGCGGCCUAUCAGCUAGUUGGUGAGGUAACGGCUCACCAAGGCUAAGACGGGUAGCUGGUCUGAGAGGACGACCAGCCACACUGGAACUGAGACACGGUCCAGACACCUACGGGUGGCAGCAGUCGAGAAUUUUUCACAAUGGGCGAAAGCCUGAUGGAGCGACGCCGCGUGGGGGAUGAAUGGCUUCGGCCCGUAAACCCCUGUCAUUCGCGAUCAAACCUCGUUAUUUAAAAGAUGACGAGCUGAUAGUAGCGGAAGAGGAAGGGACGGCUAACUCUGUGCCAGCAGCCGCGGUAAUACAGAGGUCCCAAGCGUUGUUCGGAUUCACUGGGCGUAAAGGGUGCGUAGGUGGUGAGGUAAGUCGGAUGUGAAAGCUCGGAGCUCAACUCCGAAAUGGCAUUGGAAACUACCUUGCUAGAGGGUUGGAGGGGGGACUGGAAUACUUGGUGUAGCAGUGAAAUGCGUAGAUAUCAAGUGGAACACCAGUGGCGAAGGCGAGUCCCUGGACAACUCCUGACACUGAGGCACGAAAGCUAGGGGAGCAAACAGGAUUAGAUACCCUGGUAGUCCUAGCCGUAAACGGUGCACGUUUGCUGUAAAAGGAAUCGA